Molecule: ribosomal RNA, 253 nt
Filed under: uncultured bacterium
Lineage: Bacteria
Description: partial 16S ribosomal RNA
Rfam family: Bacterial small subunit ribosomal RNA
Source: RNAcentral
UACGUAGGGUGCGAGCGUUGUCCGGAAUUAUUGGGCGUAAAGGGCUCGUAGGCGGUCUGUUGCGUCGGGAGUGAAAACUCAGGGCUUAACCCUGAGCCUGCUUCCGAUACGGGCAGACUAGAGGUAUGCAGGGGAGAACGGAAUUCCUGGUGUAGCGGUGAAAUGCGCAGAUAUCAGGAGGAACACCGGUGGCGAAGGCGGUGGCCUGGACCGAUGCUGACGCUGAGGCGCGAAAGCGUGGGGAGCGAUCCGG